GCGCUUGUACCUCGGUGAAUAAAGUGUUUGUUUUCUAAGCAGGAAGUUAUUGGUUCCACCCCUGUCUAGCACG
This 73-nucleotide transfer RNA is filed under the name Salix viminalis (osier). Lineage: Eukaryota; Viridiplantae; Streptophyta; Magnoliopsida; Malpighiales; Salicaceae. The record is from RNAcentral.